UGUAGCUAAGUGCCUAAUACAGAGUAACAUCUUAUGAUCUCAUGCUACUCUGUAUUAGGCACUUAGCUACA
Molecule: microRNA precursor, 71 nt
Filed under: Bos taurus (domestic cattle)
Lineage: Eukaryota; Metazoa; Chordata; Mammalia; Artiodactyla; Bovidae
Also listed under: 2 other names
Description: mir-2319 microRNA precursor family
Rfam family: mir-2319 microRNA precursor family
Source: Rfam by way of RNAcentral